This 253-nucleotide ribosomal RNA is filed under the name uncultured bacterium. Its description in RNAcentral is "partial 16S ribosomal RNA". It matches the Rfam family "Bacterial small subunit ribosomal RNA", at positions 524 to 776 of the family's 1533-position model. The record is from RNAcentral.
UACGUAGGGGGCAAGCGUUAUCCGGAUUUACUGGGUGUAAAGGGAACGUAGACGGCCAGACAAGUCUGAAGUGAAAAUCCAGCGCUUAACGUUGGAAGUGCUUUGGAAACUGCCGGGCUAGAGUGCAGGAGGGGCAGGCGGAAUUCCUAGUGUAGCGGUGAAGUGCGUAGAUAUUAGGAGGAACACCAGUGGCGAAGGCGGCCUGCUGGACUGCAACUGACGUUGAGGCUCGAAGGCGUGGGGAGCAAACAGG